UACAGAGGGUGCAAGCGUUAAUCGGAUUUACUGGGCGUAAAGCGUGUGUAGGCGGUUUGUUAAGUCGGGUGUGAAAUCCCUGGGCUCAACCUGGGAAUUGCAUUCGAUACUGGCAAGCUAGAGUACGGUAGAGGGCGGCGGAAUUCCGGGUGUAGCGGUGAAAUGCGUAGAUAUCGGGAGGAACACCUGUGGCGAAGGCGGCCCCCUGGUUGGAUACUGACGCUGAGACGCGAAAGCGUGGGGAGCAAACAGG
RNAcentral lists this ribosomal RNA (253 nucleotides) under uncultured bacterium. RNAcentral describes it as "partial 16S ribosomal RNA". It matches the Rfam family "Bacterial small subunit ribosomal RNA", at positions 524 to 776 of the family's 1533-position model. The record is from RNAcentral.